GUCUUUGAAAGGAUGGAGUAGAUUUCAUUUUCUAGCGAUCACUUUCCUUCUGCUGGUGACACACUGUUACUUCAAAGGCCUGGACCGGGGCGUGUUUCCUGUAAGGGUGAGCAGAUUUGAAUGACCGCUCAGGAUGGACCUGCUCUUUGCUGGUCCUGUGAUCCUCCUGGGACAGUAAAGCCACACAGGGCAGCAAGAGCAGCCUUUCUGUUGCCGGAGAUAUUCUGUGGGUAUUGAUUCGGCUCCCUCUGACUUACUUACAAUGAGCUCCCAACACAAUCGAAGUGAUGUAUAAAACCGUGAGGCUGGAGCUUCGGCCAAGCAGAGGCAGUAUGCAAUACAUAAAAGCUGGAAGCCCCCCUUCCCCCCCCCCCCCCCCGCCGCGCUUCUGUGACACUUCCAGCUGGAAGAUGAAUCGGAGCCACACAUUCCAGCUCUGCUUGGGUAGCACGGAAAUAUGCAAGCUGCAAUCAUCUAGGUAUGCUCACUACAGCUAAAGUGGUGCUGUGGUGCCAGUGCCACGUGCCGCGAAGGCUGCCAGCGAGCAUUUUUUCCAAGGACCGAUUAUUGGGAAAUUCAGCCUUUCCUCCUCUCGCUCCCCAACCAUUCAUGGAAAGGUUGCCAUGUGCCAGGAAGCCCGACUAUUUCAGUCAGUCAUGAAGCCAUCUAAGCACAGGUGUUGGAAGAGGUCAGCCUUUGAGCCGUGAUUUAAUACUUAAAGAAGCCUGACCAGACUUGGAACUGAAGCACCUUAAGGACAAAAGAAAGACUUGCUGAGCUCGCUCACAGACCUUCUAGAGCAGCGCUGGGCUCAUGGAUCUGGAGAUUAUGGACAGAAGAUAAUGUAGAUGUUAUAACCAGGCCAGCGUCCUGUGGUAAAGGGUGUCUUUAGAUCACUGUUUCGUCGGUAUAGGUGUUUACAGGUUCUGUCUCAAUGACGAUCAGCACUAACCAUCACAGUGAGGAAGGAAAGCAGAGAUUGUCCUGGACAAGGUGCUUAGCUUGCUCCCCCCUCUCCUUCACAUCAUAAUGACAGGCUCUUCCUUUUAUGUGGGUUCCCCUGCCUUUGAGGUAUCUCAGCCUCUCUUUGCACUUUGUGUCAGAGUGGGGUGCAAGACUCUACAGAGGCUACCACGGGACUUCUGGCCUAUCAGAGAACGCCAGACCUUAGUGUCACUGUUGGAACGGUAGAUUCUGAAGAUAUCCAGAAGCUAAGAGGAACACAGAGAGGGGACAAGGAGUCAGAUACCAUGAAGUAAACAGCCCCACCCCACCCUUUUCUCCAGUUAGAAGUGGCUGUAUUUGUUCGGUUGGAAUGAUCUCUUGGUGUCUGGCAGCUUGAACACAAGUCAACACAGUUGGAAAAGCCAGUUUUCCUAGCUUCUUGGCACAGCUGAUUUCCCGGUAUGGAUUGGCCCUUGGUGUGUCUUUGUGGUGGCAUGGCAAUCAUUAGGAAGGAGUGCUAUCCAGCUGUGAUUGCCCACCAUGAACUAGAGGAGAAGAUCUGGAAUUUCAAACAUGGUGCGCUAAACCGUGGGCAUGUAAAACAUGGUUGCUGAGCUGAAAUCCCUCGUCCUGCCAGGACUACGUGUCUACACUCUAAAACAUGGCAGAGCUGGGUGUUUCUGGAUAGUGGUUGAAGUCCUAAAGCUGAGGACAGAAGACAGAGCAUGUUUCCAUGUCCUAGUGCAUGGAUUCCCAUCUGGCAGAGGCUAAGCAGACCUUUACCAUCCCACGAAGAUUCCUGGAAAGAGGAAGUCACAGAGUGAUGCGCUGAGGACUGUAGGACACAGCACUGUGGCAUUUGCUCUCUCUUUCCCAUGGCAUCCAGAAUUUAUCAAAACUGAACUCAGCUUCUGUCUCCACCUACCUUCUCUGCCUCUCUGGAAUUCCUUUAGCAUGUUCUUCUCCACGAAGCAAGGAACCUAUAGAAUUAAGGCAAUGAAUCCAUUAGAAAUGAUUCCAGACGAGGCACAAGGACACUCUUUUGCACCUGAGUAAAGCCUGCAGCACAGCCUCUGUGCUAUGGUCCCUUUGCUGGUGGCUCCCACCCUGUGUUCGUAGCUCUCCUUGAUGAAAGUGAGUCCUGCCUCUUUGGUCAUCUCUCCAGUGAAACGUUCUGCUCACAUUUGUCUGUUGGAGAGAGCCAAGGUUUCUGGCUCAGCCUGUUCCUCUUAUGUCCAGGACCAAUGACCUCACCAUGUUUGGUCAAUUAACACGCUGUUUCCAAAUCA
Molecule: long non-coding RNA, 2234 nt
Filed under: Mus musculus (house mouse)
Lineage: Eukaryota; Metazoa; Chordata; Mammalia; Rodentia; Muridae
Description: long non-coding RNA, embryonic stem cells expressed 1
Source: RNAcentral